UUACUUGAUGAAACUUAUCCACCAGUACUCUGGCGAUGAUUCAAUUGAAUAUGUGCUAGGAGCAAUCAUGCAUCACCAUCUGAUAA
RNAcentral lists this small nucleolar RNA (86 nucleotides) under Zygosaccharomyces rouxii. Lineage: Eukaryota; Fungi; Ascomycota; Saccharomycetes; Saccharomycetales; Saccharomycetaceae. The record is from RNAcentral.